UACGUAGGUUUCCAGCGUUGUCCGGAGUUAUUGGGCGUAAAGAGCGCGCAGGCGGCCGUUCAAGUCGAGUGUGAAAGCCCCCGGCUCAACUGGGGAGGGUCAUUCGAUACUGAUCGACUCGAAGGCAGGAGAGGGAAGUGGAAUUCCCGGUGUAGUGGUGAAAUGCGUAGAUAUCGGGAGGAACACCAGUGGCGAAGGCGGCUCCCUGGCCUGAUGUUGACGCUGAGGAGCGAAAGCUAGGGGAGCAAACGGG
RNAcentral lists this ribosomal RNA (253 nucleotides) under uncultured bacterium. RNAcentral describes it as "partial 16S ribosomal RNA". It matches the Rfam family "Bacterial small subunit ribosomal RNA", at positions 524 to 776 of the family's 1533-position model. The record is from RNAcentral.